ACGGUAGCAGGUCUUCGGAUGCUGACGAGUGGCGGACGGGUGAGUAACGCGUAGGAAUCUGCCUAUUAGUGGGGGACAACGUGUGGAAACGCACGCUAAUACCGCAUACGCCCUACGGGGGAAAGGAGGGGAUCUUCGGACCUUUCGCUAAUAGAUGAGCCUGCGUAGGAUUAGCUAGUUGGUAGGGUAAAGGCCUACCAAGGCGACGAUCCUUAGCUGUUCUGAGAGGAAGAUCAGCCACACUGGGACUGAGACACGGCCCAGACUCCUACGGGAGGCAGCAGUGGGGAAUAUUGGACAAUGGGCGAAAGCCUGAUCCAGCAAUACCGCGUGUGUGAAGAAGGCCUUAGGGUUGUAAAGCACUUUCAAUUGGGAGGAAAAAACAAGGGUCAAUACCCCUUGUCUUGACAUUACCUUUAGAAGAAGCACCGGCUAACUCCGUGCCAGCAGCCGCGGUAAUACGGAGGGUGCGAGCGUUAAUCGGAAUUACUGGGCGUAAAGAGUGCGUAGGCGGCUCGUUAAGUCAGAUGUGAAAGCCCUGGGCUCAACCUGGGAACUGCAUUUGAAACUGGCGAGCUAGAGUUGAGUAGAGGUAAGUGGAAUUUCAGGUGUAGCGGUGAAAUGCGUAGAUAUCUGAAGGAACACCAGUGGCGAAGGCGACUUACUGGACUCAAACUGACGCUGAGGUACGAAAGCGUGGGUAGCAAACAGGAUUAGAUACCCUGGUAGUCCACGCCGUAAACGAUGUCAACUAGCCGUUGGUCCUAUAUACAGGAUUAGUGGCGCAGCUAACGCAUUAAGUUGACCGCCUGGGGAGUA
Molecule: ribosomal RNA, 819 nt
Filed under: uncultured organism
Description: bacterial SSU rRNA
Rfam family: Bacterial small subunit ribosomal RNA
Source: RNAcentral